UGCAGUCGAGCGGAGCUAUGUGGAGCUUGCUCCAUUAUGCUUAGCGGCGGACGGGUGAGUAACACGUGGGCAACCUGCCCUGCAGAUCGGGAUAACUCCGGGAAACCGGUGCUAAUACCGAAUAGUUUGCGGCCUCUCAUGAGGCUGCACGGAAAGACGGUUUCGGCUGUCACUGCAGGAUGGGCCCGCGGCGCAUUAGCUAGUUGGUGAGGUAACGGCUCACCAAGGCCACGAUGCGUAGCCGACCUGAGAGGGUGAUCGGCCACACUGGGACUGAGACACGGCCCAGACUCCUACGGGAGGCAGCAGUAGGGAAUCUUCCGCAAUGGACGAAAGUCUGACGGAGCAACGCCGCGUGAGUGAAGAAGGUUUUCGGAUCGUAAAACUCUGUUGUGAGGGAAGAACAAGUACCAACUAACUACUGGUACCUUGACGGUACCUCACCAGAAAGCCACGGCUAACUACGUGCCAGCAGCCGCGGUAAUACGUAGGUGGCAAGCGUUGUCCGGAAUUAUUGGGCGUAAAGCGCGCGCAGGCGGUCCUUUAAGUCUGAUGUGAAAGCCCACGGCUCAACCGUGGAGGGUCAUUGGAAACUGGGGGACUUGAGUGCAGAAGAGGAAAGUGGAAUUCCACGUGUAGCGGUGAAAUGCGUAGAGAUGUGGAGGAACACCAGUGGCGAAGGCGACUUUCUGGUCUGUAACUGACGCUGAGGCGCGAAAGCGUG
RNAcentral lists this ribosomal RNA (724 nucleotides) under Planococcus sp. ht3-4. Its description in RNAcentral is "bacterial SSU rRNA". It matches the Rfam family "Bacterial small subunit ribosomal RNA", at positions 56 to 763 of the family's 1533-position model. Lineage: Bacteria; Bacillati; Bacillota; Bacilli; Caryophanales; Caryophanaceae. RNAcentral also lists the same sequence under 1 other name. The record is from RNAcentral.